Molecule: ribosomal RNA, 202 nt
Filed under: uncultured Staphylococcus sp.
Lineage: Bacteria; Bacillati; Bacillota; Bacilli; Caryophanales; Staphylococcaceae
Description: partial 16S ribosomal RNA
Rfam family: Bacterial small subunit ribosomal RNA
Source: RNAcentral
GUAGGUAACUUACUGGAAACCGGAGCUAAUACCGGAUAAUAUAUUGAACCGCAUGGUUCAAUAGUGAAAGACGGUUUUGCUGUCACUUAUAGAUGGAUCCGCGCCGCAUUAGCUAGUCGGUAAGGUAACGGCUUACCAAGGCAACGAUGCGUAGCCGACCUGAGAGGGUGAUCGGCCACACUGGAACUGAGACACGGUCCAG